GGGUGAGUAACACGUGGGUAACCUGCCUGUAAGACUGGGAUAACUCCGGGAAACCGGAGCUAAUACCGGAUAGUUCCUUGAACCGCAUGGUUCAAGGAUGAAAGACGGUUUCGGCUGUCACUUACAGAUGGACCCGCGGCGCAUUAGCUAGUUGGUGAGGUAACGGCUCACCAAGGCGACGAUGCGUAGCCGACCUGAGAGGGUGAUCGGCCACACUGGGACUGAGACACGGCCCAGACUCCUACGGGAGGCAGCAGUAGGGAAUCUUCCGCAAUGGACGAAAGUCUGACGGAGCAACGCCGCGUGAGUGAUGAAGGUUUUCGGAUCGUAAAGCUCUGUUGUUAGGGAAGAACAAGUGCAAGAGUAACUGCUUGCACCUUGACGGUACCUAACCAGAAAGCCACGGCUAACUACGUGCCAGCAGCCGCGGUAAUACGUAGGUGGCAAGCGUUGUCCGGAAUUAUUGGGCGUAAAGGGCUCGCAGGCGGUUUCUUAAGUCUGAUGUGAAAGCCCCCGGCUCAACCGGGGAGGGUCAUUGGAAACUGGGAAACUUGAGUGCAUAAGAGGAGAGUGGAAUUCCACGUGUAGCGGUGAAAUGCGUAGAGAUGUGAGAGGAACACCAGUGGCGAAGGCGACUCUCUGGUCUGUAACUGACGCUGAGGAGCGAAAGCGUGGGGAGCGAACAGGAUUAGAUACCCUGGUAGUCCACGCCGUAAAACGAUGAGUGCUAAGUGUUAGAGGGGUUUCCGCCCCUUAGUGCUGCAGCUAACGCAUUAAGCACUCCGCCUGGGG
This 792-nucleotide ribosomal RNA is filed under the name Bacillus altitudinis. RNAcentral's name for it is "bacterial SSU rRNA". It matches the Rfam family "Bacterial small subunit ribosomal RNA", at positions 104 to 878 of the family's 1533-position model. The record is from RNAcentral. Lineage: Bacteria; Bacillati; Bacillota; Bacilli; Caryophanales; Bacillaceae.